Molecule: ribosomal RNA, 1822 nt
Filed under: Brassica rapa (field mustard)
Lineage: Eukaryota; Viridiplantae; Streptophyta; Magnoliopsida; Brassicales; Brassicaceae
Description: eukaryotic LSU rRNA
Rfam family: Eukaryotic large subunit ribosomal RNA
Source: RNAcentral
GCUAGGGAUGAACUAAUGAUUGUCUAUGAAACGAUUAAGAAGUUGUGUAUUGUAUCUCAUGUUGCUAAGUAAUACAUUUUAUACACAUUUAUAUUCCGCUGUGCUAUCUAUUCAAUUGUUUUAGAACCUUAUAUUCGAACAUGACUUAGUAAAUGAAAGACUUAAAAUGAAUCAAACAAGCAAAGAAAUUGAUUAAGUAGCAAACGGGUCCAGUCUUGUCCAGAGGCCGGAUUCAGGUGUUACAGGGAAUUCCGGAAAGAAUUAUCUUUUCUUUUUAACAGCCUGCCCACCCUGGAAACGGCUCAGCUGGAGGUAGGGUCCAGCGGCUGGAAGAGCACCGCACGUCGCGUGGUGUCCGGUGCAUUCCCGGUGGCCCUUGAAAAUCCAGAGGACCGAGUGCCGCUCACGCCCGGUCGUACUCAUUACCGCAUCAGGUCUCCAAGGUGAGCAGCCUCUGGUCGAUGGAACAAUGUAGGCAAGGGAAGUGGGGAAAAAGGAUCCGUAACUUCAUGAAAAGGAUUGGCUCUGAGGGCUGGGCUCGGGGGUCCCAGUUGCGAACCCGUCGACUGUUGGCGGGCUGCUUGAGCUGCUAACGUGGCGAGAGCGGACCGCCUUGUGUCAGCCGGGGGACGGACUGGGAACGGCUCUUUCGGGAUCUUUCCCCGGGCAUCGAACAGCCAACUCAUAACUGGUACGGACAAGGGGAAUCCGACUGUUUAAUUAAAACAAAGCAUUGCGAUGGUCCCUGCGGAUGCUAACGCAAUUUGAUUUAUGCCCAGUGCUCUGAAUGUCAAAGUGAAGAAAUUCAACCAAGCGCGGGUAAACAGCGGGAGUAACUAUGACUCUCUUAAUGUAGCCAAAUGCCUCGUCAUCUAAUUAGUGAUGCACAUGAAUGGAUUAACGAGAUUCCCACUGUCCCUGUCUUCUAUCCAGCGAAACCACAGCCAAGGGAACGGGCUUGGCAGAAUCAGCGGGGAAAGAAGACCCUGUUGAGCUUGACUCUAGUCCGACUUUGUGAAAUGACUUGAGAGGUGUAGAAUAAGUGGGAGCUCCGGCGCAAGUGAAAUACCACUACUUUUAACAUUAUUUUACUUACUCCGUACAUCGGAGGCGGGGUAACAACCCCUUCUUUUAGACCCAAGACUCGCUUCGGCGGGUCAAUCCUGGCGGAGGACAUUGUCAGGUGGGGAGUUUGGCUGGGGCGUCACAUCUGUUAAAAAAUAACACAAGUGUCCUAAGAUGAGCUCAACGAGAACAGAAAUCUCGUGUGGAACAAAAGGGUAAAAGCUCGUUUGAUUCUGAUUUUCAGUACGAAUACGAACCGUGAAAGUGUGGCCUAUCGAUCCUUUAGACCUUCGGAAUUUGAAGCUAGAGGUGUCAGAAGAGCGUUCAUAGUGACGUUGGUUUUUGAUCCUUCCACGUCGGCUCUUCCUAUCAUUGUGAAGCAGAAUUCACCAAGUGUUGGAUUGUUCACCCACCAAUAGGGAACGUGAGCUGGGUUUAGAUUGUCGUGAGAUAGGUUAGUUUUACCCUACUGAUGCCCGCGUCUAAUAGUAAUUCAACCUAGUACGAGAGGAACCGUUGAUUCGCACAAUUGGUCAUCGCGCUUGGUUGAAAAGCCUGUGGCGUGAAGCUACCGUGCGCUGGAUUAUGACUGAACGCCUCUAAGUCAGAAUCUGGGCUAGAAGCGACACAUGCACCUGCCGUCCGAGUGCCAACCCUCAGUAGGAGCUUUGGCUCCCAAAGGCACGUGUCAUUGGCUAAGUCUGUUCGGCGGAAGCGACGUUCGGACCGCCUUGAAUUAUAAUUACCACCGAGCAGC